UUUUAUUAUCUGACUUUUGAUCUUUCUUCUCAAUCCCUCUUCCUCUAUCUUUUUCGUUCAAAGUACUUUUGAUCUUUCUUCUCAAUCCCUCUUGCUCUAUCUUUUUCUUUCAAAAUCAAUACCUGACAAUGCUUUACAACUUCAAAUUUCAAACUGCGAUUUACAAGUAUUAUACAUUUAAAUUUGUGUUAUCUUGGUACUAGGAUUUUGGAUUGAUAAUUUUUAUUUUCUUAGAGCUUGAUGAGUCUAAUCCUUUUUUGGAUCUAACUGAUAAAGUUCAUUUUGACACUCAAUUAUGUAUGAUGGGGAUUGCAUUUCAUCCAAAGUUCUUACAAAAUAGUCAUUUAUUUUCUUUCUUUAAUUGCGAUAAGAAAUCGUGGGCCGGAUGUGCACGAAGAUGCUCUUGUAACUCGGAUGUGGAUUGUGAUCCAUCAAAAAUACCUAAUUAUAGUGGUACCCGACCAUUCUAAUUUCAAAUAGUUAUAGCAGAAUUUACUGCCAAUGGUACAACAUCUCAGCCUUCAGAGGCAAAAGCUGCUAGUCCGAAAGAAGUUAGCAGAAUAUUCACCAUGGGCAUUCCUUUUACUGGUCAUCAUGGUGGUGAUGCAGAGAUAACCAAGCUUGGUUUAUGAGGAAACUGCAACAUUCCAAAGGAUAAUCCUUAUAUUGAAGAUAAAGAGCUGCAGCCCGAAAUAUGGGCACUAGGAAUGAGAAAUGCUUGGCACUACAAUUUUGAUUCUGUAAGGCCAUCCUACUUCAUAUGUGCAAUACAAGCCAGGUAAUGUUUAAGAAUUUUAUUCUCCAAGUAAUUCUAACUAGAUAUUAUUUUCUGUUCACUUUCAAGCCCCAUACAGAAUUUAUACCAAGAAUACAUAAAUUUCCUCACACCAUAAGUUCAUAGUUGUUCUGGCUGGAUGGGAUGUGAAUUGAGACAGAGAAUCUAAGUAUUAGAACAAACAAGUCUUUUAGUUGAUUACUGCUGCACAGAACUUAAGUGCCUCAGACAUAUAUUAUUGAUUCCCCUCAUCUUGUUCAAUAUCACAUAUGCAUGUUUAAAGUCAGAUAUACUAUGGGACCUUGCUCUACUCAUUGUAAUACCCCAUAUUUUUCCUAGCUUAAAAUUCGGCCCUAGAUUGCUUCAAAGAUGAAUAAAUUUUAUCCCAUCUAGUAUCUUUAAGAUUUCACUUUUUUGUCACAUGGAAAUUGAAUUAGCUUUCCAACGAUACCAAUUUCAUCAAAAUCCAAUGUUAGGGUAAAAAGUUAUGGUUAUUUUAUAGAAGCUGUUUGAGAUGCCCAGGAGCGUCAGGGCAGACUGACGGACCAUCGCAUAGGCGAUGGAUCAUCGCUCUAACUGUCGCUACUGAGGCAGUGGACCAGUAUUCUUCCCAAGAGAGAUGGUCAGGACCGACAAACCGUAGAGCUAGCGACGGACCGUCGAGCUAGCCAUCGCCGUCAAGGAAGUGAACACCUCUUCUAGUUUAGUGCGAUGGUUAGGACCGAUGGACCAUUGGACUAGUGAUGGAACGUCACCCAUAUCAUCGUAUUUUAAGUUCAGUGAAUUUAAAGCCGUUUUAAAAAGGGGUAUUUAGUAUUUUUGCCACAUUUUAAAUACCUAGUUAUAUCCAGCCAGAGCUCAUAACCUUAUUACUCUUUUAUAACAUCGAAUUAGGGUUUCUCUUAAUCAAGAACUAGAUUUUAAAUCCUUCUUCAAGAAAUUCAAGAGAAUCAAGAACAACUCUAGAAAUUCUCCAAGAACCUCCAAGGAUUAUUAUCCCUGGUAUGCAAAGUGUUCAUAUAUGGGCCCCUUUCGCCCAUGGAGUCUAAGAACCCUUUUCAAUAUACAAAGAUUGCAUUCCUUUUAUGAAUUCUCAUGAUUUUCUUGAAUUAAUAUCCAUGUUCAUGUUGUUUUUGGGUGUUGACCCACGUUUUGGAUUAUAAGUUUCAAGAAUUGAUUCUAGUAUGUGAUGAUUUAAAUGAUGUUCAUGAUAAACCUUUCAACUUUUAUGUUAAUUGAUUUAUCCAUGAUAAUUAGAUGUGUUGGUGGUUGUAUAACCAAAGUAUGCUCCCCAUGUGUGUAAUAAAAUGCUUAUGUAAAGAACCUAGUACCAUUAUAGUAUGAUAAUAUGAAAUCCCUAUCCAUGUACAAGUUAAUGCAUGCAAAGUGUUUGAUGGAAUGCCUUAGUAAAGGAAUUAUGUGUAUUUAGUCAUUGAUGAGCUUUCAAUCUUGUGCCAUGAUUUAAUUUUCCAUGCUAUCGAGUCCUGGGGGUAUUUAAUACCUAAAAACUUAGCUGUGUGCCUAGAGCAUGUGUCAUGUUUUCAAGAUAAUCUCAGUUAAUCCAUGUUCAGUAGAAUUCGUUCAGUCUCAUGACUCAAUAAAACUCAAUAUCAGUUUAGUCCUACUCAGUACUCAGUAAUCUUAGUAAUUCAGCAAUCUCAGUAGUUUCGUCAGUCAACGAAAAUUAAGUAAACUCAGUCCAAUUCAGUUUAGUAAUCGUGGUUUAGUGUCUAUUCAAAUGGGAGUAGGAUUUAGCACUGAGCAAACCUAGGGAUGGGAACUUACGUACUAGUUAAGGGUGUGAUUCUUAGAAGCAAUCUUUGUAUUCAAGAACUGCGUAGCCAGCGUAGGUUAAGACGUCAUAAACUGCUAGGUAAGGGUAGAUGAAGUGGAUUAACCUGAUAGCUGAGGGUUCUCACCAUUAUCAUUAGAGUACUUGCUAGAUGAGGGAUUUCUCAUAGCUGUCCUUACCCUGGCACGAUAUUGACAUCCUUUAAAUUGGGGUUAUAGAUUGGACCCAACUCAGCUAUAAUAGCUCAUUCAGGCCAUGUCGGUUAGAUAAAUUCUCCCACAAUUACAGUCUAAGUCUUAGUAAUAGAACUCAGAUAGUUCUAUAGAACUCAGGACUGUCAGAUACAGUCACUCAGUACAGUAUGGAACUUAGCUAGUUCCAUCAGAAUCUAGACUGUCAUAUACAGUCACUUAGAAUGAGUUAUACCAGAUAUCAAUAACUCAUGUUAUCAUUAUUUAGUCUCAGUAGUCAGUACAAUAUUACCAUGAAUUUAGCUACAGUUAUGUAUUUCAUGCAUGUACUCUCACAUUCAUAUUGGUCCGUCGGAUAGUAUUGUUCAAGCAUAUGACCCCAUGCAUUUAGCCUACCUCACUUGCAUACUUAGUACAUUUAGUCAUACUGAUGCAUUUAUGCUAUGGUGUUUUAUUAUGCCAUAGGUUUAGAAGCACAAGUCCCAGCUCCAGAGCAGCAGUAGUAUUCUAGUAUCAAUACUCACAAUCAUUGAAAAUGCCUCCUAAGAAGAAAACUAGAAAUCAGUCAGUCCCUCAGCUUUUCCAGGCAGAUCUUUUGGACAAGCACGUUUCUCAUGGCAGAAUUUAGAGCUGCAUUCACUACUCUUGCUAAUUCAGUUGCUGCUCAGAAUAAAUGUCCAGCUUUUGUUCCGGCUAACCUAGUGGCCAACUCUGCUGCAGCUAGAAUUCGGGACUUCAUCCGAAUGAAUCCUUCAUCUUUCACAGGGUCUAAGUAAGAUGAAGACCCUAAAAAAUUCCUAGAUCAAGCGCAGAAGGUCAUAAAUAUCAUGGGGGUAACUCCUAGUUAGAGUGCUGAGCUAGCUACAUAUCAGUUGCAUGAUGUGGCUCACACUUAGUUCAAGCAGUGGAAGUUAGAGAGGGUAGAUGAUGCAGGGUUAGUAGUGUGGGAGGAACUUGCCAAUGCUUUUCUUGAUAGGUUCUUUCCUCUAGAGUUGAGGGAAGCUAAGGUGUUAGAAUUUAUCAAUCACAGGCAGGGUAAUAUGACGGUGAAAGAGUAUUCUCUUAAGUUUACUUAAUUAGAUAGAUAUGCCCCUUAUGUAGUUGCAGAUAGUAGGUCUAAGAUGAGUAAGUUUGUCUCUGGGGUGAAUGAUAGUAUGGUCAAUGAGUGCAAGACCGCAAUGUUUAAUAGUGACAUGAACAUAGCUAGACUUAUAACCCAUGCUCAGUAGAUAAAAGAGCAGAGGUUAAGCAGAUAGAGAAGCAAAAUAAGAGAGCAAGGAUAGGUAGUUUCAACUUUGCUCAGCCUAAGUUAGAGGGUGGUAACAGUUCUCAAUUCCUACCAAAGUCAUCAGUCCAAGAACCUUAUUCAGCUAGUACCCCAGUGCCAAAAUUCAGAGACGACAAUAGAGAUAGAGCGCCAGGCUUUAAGUCUUAGGGCAGUGUUAGCAGUGCCUUAACCUAUCCCCUUCGUCAGACUUGUGGUAAGAACCAUAAGGGUACUUACAGAGUUGGCAGUGAUGUUUAUUUCGAAUGUGGCAAGCCAGGUAACAGAGUCAGAGAUUGUCCUCAGCCAAGUCCUCAGGGUUAGCAUAACCAUUCCUCAGCUCAGUUUGGUCUUUUAAAUCAGCAGGGUGUCGCCUCCAGUGCUACUAGUGGGCAAUGCCCAAACAGACUAUAAGCUCUCUAGUCUCGACAGGAUCAGGAAAAUUCUCCUGAUAUGGUUACUGGUAUGUUAUAAAUCUUCAUAUACAUGUUUAUUCUUUGCUAGAUCUAUGAGCUUCCUUAUCUUUUGUUACUCCCUAUAUAGCAGCCGAUCUCAGAAUUAGUCUCUAAAUUCUUACAGAGCCCUUCUCAUUAUAUAUCCUAGUGGGUAAAACCAUCAUAGACCAACUUGUCUACAGGAACUGACCGAUUAUGGUUUCUCAGAAAUUCACUCCAGCAGAUUUAGUUAAAUUAAAGAUGACUAAUUUUGAUGUCAUUCUUGGCAUUGAUUGUCUCUAUUCCUAUUAUGCCGCAGUCGAUUGCAGAAAUAGAAUUGUCUAGUUUCAGUUUCUGAAUAAACACAUCUUAGAGUGGAAGGGUAGUACUUCAGCUUUCAGAGGUCAUCUUGUUUCCUACCUGUGGGCACGAAAAAUGAUAUCUAAGGGGUGUAUCUAUCAUCUUGUUUGAGUUAAGGACACUAGCUCUGAAACUCCCAGUCUUGAAUUAGUCCCUGUUGUGAGUGAAUAUUCUGAUGUCUUUCCCAAAGAUCAUCCAGGAAUUCCUCCCAAAAAGAAAAUAGACUUCGACAUUGAUCAUCUUCCAAAUACUCGGCCCAUAUCUAUUUCGCCAUACACAAUGGCACCAACAAAACUCAAAGAACUAAAAAAUAGUUAAAGGAUCUCUUAGAUAAGGGAUUCAUUAGACCCAGUGUUUCCCCAUGGGGUGUACCAGUUUUAUUUAUUUGCAAGAAAGACGGGUCUCUCAGAAUGCGUAUAGACUACUGUCAACUCAAUAAAGUCACAAUCAAGAACAAGUAUCCUCUUCAUAGAAUCGAUGACUUGUUUGACCAACUGGAGGGUGCCAGUUACUUCUCCAAUAUAGACCUCAGAUCAGGCUAUCAUCAGCUCAAAGUCAGAGAAUGCGAUAUUCUAAAGAUAGCUUUUCUAACUCGGUAUGGUUACUUCAAAUUCUUAGUCAUGUCCUUUGGUCUUACCAAUGCUCUAGCAGACUUCAUGGACUUGAUAAAACAUGUGUUCAAGUAGUACUUAGAUAUGUUCAUCAUAGUCUUCAUAGAUAACAUCCUUGUCUAUUCUCGCAAUGAGCAUGAUCAUGCAGACCAUCUCAAAAUAGUGUUGCAGACUCUAAAAAAUAAUCAGUUGUUUGCCAAAUCUAGUAAGUGCGAAUUUGGGCUAAGGUCAGUAGUAUUCCUUGGUCAUAUAAUUUCUGGUGAUGGCAUUAAGUUGAUCCUCAAAAGACCAAAGCAGUAAGAAAUUGGACUAGACCCAUUUCUCCAUCUGAUAUCAAGAGUUCCUUAGGUUUGGCUGGCUAUUACAGAUGGUUUGUUAAAAGGUUUUCUUCCAUUGUGGCCCUUAUGUAUAGAUUGAAUCAGAAGAAAGUUUAGUUUCAGUGGUCAGAUUCAUGUGAGAAGAGUUUUCAGGAGUUGAAGACUCGACUCACCUCAGCCAUAGUUUUGACUCUUCCAGAUGUUUUAGAUGUGUUUGUCAUGUAUUGUGAUCCAUCUAGGGUAGGUCUAAGUUGUGUCCUCAUGCAGUAUGGUAAGGUCAUAGGCUAUGCCUCCGAAUAGCUUAAACACCAUAAGAAGAAUUAUCCUACCCAUGAUCUCGAGUUAGCAGCCGUAGUUUUUGCCUUAAAGAUUUGGAGGCAUUAUCUAUAUGGAGUGCAUGUGGAUUUCUUCAAACAUGAUAAAUACACAAACUAUUCAUCACCCCUGAAUAUAAAAUAUAAUUCUUGAGCUUGUUUUAGCAUUUUGGACUCCAAAUACACUGAAAAUAACAAAUCUAAAAAAUAGGCUUUGCAGGAGAAUCUUCUAAGAGAGUACAAAGCUGUGAAACUGAGUUUUGUUGAAUAAGGAUAUGCAAUACUUUCUUUGUAGUUUCUGCGUGGUGUUGUUGGAGGAGAUUUUAUAGGUUUUUGAGUUGUUCUUGAAGAUUUUGAGGUGAGUUUUCACUGAUUGGUUAUUGGUUAAAAGAGGUAGUAUUUGAAUGAAAGAACUUGCAGGUUAAUGGAGGGUUAACGGUAGUGGUAAGUUUGGUAAAACAAUGAAGUUUGUGCAUAUGGCUGUGUGAUGUGUGAAAUGUUUAUGCUUGUUUAAAGUUAUACUACAACUAUUAUUAAUCCAAGAAGUACAUAUAUUAGAUUGUAUAAAAGCAAAAUAAAGAUAAAUAUUUUGAGUAUUUGUUUCUUUUAUUUGAGUGGUUUUUAAUAUUUUUAGGGAUGUUUUUUAAUACUAUACAUUUUUGGUUUUAAUUUGUUUGUUCACCCCACUAUGUUGGUGGCAAGAUUUAAUGGCGAGUUCUAUUAGAGCAUGUUUCUCCCCUUGUGAAAAUUAUAUUAAUUUCUCUUGUGAUGCACCAGGUAAGCCAUUGCUUGGCAUAUUGAUGAAUUUAACUAAUGCGAUUAUGAUUUGGGUAAUUAGGAGUAAUAGAGAAAAAUGUAUCUUGUCCAGUACUUUUUUCUUUCUUUUUAAUUGAGAUGUUUUAUGUAAUUUUAUCUGUGGUUAGAACUUCACUUGUGUGAGCUUGCUUACAUUGUUGGUCCCAUACACGUAUAAAGGAGGGUUGUGGUAGCCCAUAGGUUGAAAGUCCGUGUAAGGCUUGCAAAUUCAUGACAAAUCCUCAUAAUACAAAUAAAGAAGUAGGGAUUCAUAUAAGUUGACCCCAAUUUAUUUGAGACAGAGGCGUAGUAGUUGGUAUUAAAGAAACUUUCUUUUGAAUUUCAUAUUUCUGAAAAUAUGACUUUCUACAAGGGAAUACUCCUAAAUAUAACAGGUAGCUAAUUCUUCUCAAAUAGAUGGAAGCAUAUUGGAAAAACACCAAAAUAUGAGAACAUAAAAUCUUUGGCACUUUAAUAUGUUGUAUGAGUUAUCUCUGUAGUCUACAUCAGUGUGUAAACUAUUUGCAAAGAACCUACCCAUUGCUUUUCUUUUUAUGCAUAAUUGUCUUCUUUUUUUUUUUGUAUUUUGUUCUUUGGUAUUUUCGUCCAAUUACCAUGAUUAUUUUCAAUUUGAUUUUGUUAUACAUCUCAAUUCAAGGUCUAACAUCAUCUGGGGGCAGUAACUCUAUGGGCAAAAUAACAAUGGAUUUUCAAGAGCGCUUGUAAAAGAAAGGUUCUUAGUUUCUUUAGUUGAGUUAACUUCAUGAUCAAGUAUCUUCAUUCCAGUCCACUUAGCAUUGAUAGUUGGACACGCUGAGUUUCCAUACUUGUUUUGAAGUCACUUUUUCCAUCUUUAACUACCUAAUGCUUUCAUAUCAUAUGUCAAGAUGGUAUAGUUGCUACAGUGACCAACUUGAUGAUUUCUGGUGUUAGAGGUUCGGUUGAGGUGUUGAACAACUUGAGUCAGCCAAUCAAUCAUUCAAGUAGUACAUGCUUCCAUUCAUGGUUCCUUUGUUUCUAAUAUUUUUUCUGGUUAGCAGUUCUUAUUCAAAUCUAUUGGUCUUUUAUUUUCCUUAGAAUUCAGUUCUAUGGUAAUUGUUAUGCAAAUAUUAAAAGCAACUGGCUGUUCAUUUAGAUUGUUGAAAAUGUCAAUCUACUUCCAAAUUUUCAGUUU
Molecule: long non-coding RNA, 8027 nt
Organism: Capsicum annuum
Lineage: Eukaryota; Viridiplantae; Streptophyta; Magnoliopsida; Solanales; Solanaceae
Exons: 4
Source: RefSeq, a predicted model, not a curated record